This 477-nucleotide ribosomal RNA is filed under the name uncultured bacterium. RNAcentral's name for it is "partial 16S ribosomal RNA". It matches the Rfam family "Bacterial small subunit ribosomal RNA", at positions 28 to 506 of the family's 1533-position model. The record is from RNAcentral.
GAUGAACGCUGGCGGCGUGCUUAACACAUGCAAGUCGAACGGGAAUUAUUUUAUUGAAACUUCGGUCGAUUUAAUUUAAUUCUAGUGGCGGACGGGUGAGUAACGCGUGGGUAACCUGCCUUAUACAGGGGGAUAACAGUCAGAAAUGGCUGCUAAUACCGCAUAAGCGCACAGAGCUGCAUGGCUCAGUGUGAAAAACUCCGGUGGUAUAAGAUGGACCCGCGUUUGAUUAGCUUGUUGGCAGGGUAACGGCCUACCAAGGCGACGAUCCAUAGCCGGCAUGAGAGGGUGAACGGCAACAUUGGGACUGAGACAAGGCCCAGACUCCUACGGGAGGCAGCAGUGGGGAAUAUUGCACAAUGGGGGAAACCCUGAUGCAGCGACGCCGCGUGAAGGAAGAAGUAUCUCGGUAUGUAAACUUCUAUCAGCAGGGAAGAUAGUGACGGUACCUGACUAAGAAGCCCCGGCUAACUACGU